This 593-nucleotide ribosomal RNA is filed under the name Porogramme sp. CBMAI 1061. RNAcentral describes it as "eukaryotic LSU rRNA". The stretch from base 195 to 350 matches the Rfam family "5.8S ribosomal RNA". The record is from RNAcentral. Lineage: Eukaryota; Fungi; Basidiomycota; Agaricomycetes; Polyporales; Polyporaceae.
CGGAAGGAUCAUUAACGAGUUGAACGGGGUUGUAGCUGGCCUUCACGGGCAUGUGCACACCUCACUCAUCCACUCUACACCUGUGCACUUACUGUGGGUUUCGAGAGGCCACGCUUGCGUGGUUGAUCGGGCUCACGUCUAUUACAAACUCUUCAGUAUCAGAAUGUGUAUCGCGAUGUAACGCAUCUAUAUACAACUUUCAGCAACGGAUCUCUUGGCUCUCGCAUCGAUGAAGAACGCAGCGAAAUGCGAUAAGUAAUGUGAAUUGCAGAAUUCAGUGAAUCAUCGAAUCUUUGAACGCACCUUGCGCUCCUUGGUAUUUUCCGAGGAGCAUGCCUGUUUGAGUGUCAUGUAAUUCUCAACCUAUAAAUCCUUGUGGUUUUUAGGCUUGGACUUGGAGGCUUUUGCUGGCUUUACCGUCGGCUCCUCUUAAACGCAUUAGCUUGAUUCCUUGCGGAUCGGCUCUCAGUGUGAUAAUUAUCUGCGCUGUGACCGUGAAGCGUUUGGCGAGCUUCUAACCGUCUCUUCGAGACAAACACUUUGACAUCUGACCUCAAAUCAGGUAGGACUACCCGCUGAACUUAAGCAUAUCA